Molecule: ribosomal RNA, 1009 nt
Filed under: Agelas sp. BZ277
Lineage: Eukaryota; Metazoa; Porifera; Demospongiae; Agelasida; Agelasidae
Also listed under: 2 other names
Description: SSU rRNA
Rfam family: Eukaryotic small subunit ribosomal RNA
Source: RNAcentral
GCAUGUCUAAGUAUAAACGCUUCUAUACUGUGAAACUGCGAAUGGCUCAUUAAAUCAGUUAUAGUUUAUUUGAUGGUUCCUUACUACUUGGAUAACCGUAGUAAUUCUAGAGCUAAUACAUGCAGAAAGUCCCGACUUCUUGGAAGGGAUGUAUUUAUUAGAUCCAAAACCAGCGCGAGUUUCCUUCGGGGGCUCGGUUGCAUGGUGAUUCAUGAUAACUGCUCGAAUCGCAUGGCCUUGCGCCGGCGAUGAUCCAUUCAAAUUUCUGCCCUAUCAACUUUCGAUGGCAAGGUAGUGGCUUGCCAUGGUGACAACGGGUGACGGAGAAUUAGGGUUCGAUUCCGGAGAGGGAGCCUGAGAAACGGCUACCACAUCCAAGGAAGGCAGCAGGCGCGCAAAUUACCCAAUCCCGACUCGGGGAGGUAGUGACAAUAAAUAACAAUGCUGGGCUAUCGUAGUCUGGCAAUUGGAAUGAGUACAAUCUAAACCCCUUAACGAGGAACAAUUGGAGGGCAAGUCUGGUGCCAGCAGCCGCGGUAAUUCCAGCUCCAAUAGCGUAUAUUAAAGUUGUUGCAGUUAAAAAGCUCGUAGUUGGAUUUCGGGGCAGCCCGGCUGGUCCGUCGCGAGGCGAGUACUGGUCGGCCGCCCUUCCUCUCGAAAGCCCCGACUGCUCUUCACUGCAGUGGUCGGGGAGUUCGGGACGUUUACUUUGAAAAAAUUAGAGUGUUCAAGGCAGGCCAUCGCCUGAAUACAUUAGCAUGGAAUAAUGGAAGAGGACCUCGGUCCUAUUUUGUUGGUUUCUAGGGCCGAAGUAAUGAUUAAGAGGGACAGUUGGGGGCAUUCGUAUUUAAUUGUCAGAGGUGAAAUUCUCGGAUUUAUGAAAGACGAACAACUGCGAAAGCAUUUGCCAAGGAUGUUUUCAUUAAUCAAGAACGAAAGUUAGGGGUUCGAAGACGAUCAGAUACCGUCGUAGUCCUAACCAUAAACUAUGCCGACUAGGGAUCGGCGG